GUGGGGAAUAUUGGACAAUGGGCGCAAGCCUGAUCCAGCCAUGCCGCGUGAGUGAUGAAGGCCUUCGGGUUGUAAAGCUCUUUAGCCGAUGAUUAUAAUGACUGUAGUCGGAAAAUAAGCCCCGGCUAACUUCGUGCCAGCAGCCGCGGUAAUACGAAGGGGGCGAGCGUUAUUCGGAAUCACUGGGCGUAAAGCGUGCGUAGGCGGCUUUGCAAGUUGGGAGUGAAAGCCCAGGGCUCAACCCUGGAAUUGCUCUCAAAACUGCAAGGCUCGAAUUCGGGAGAGGAUAGCGGAAUUGUCAGUGUAGCAGUGAAAUGCGUAGAUAUUGACAAGAACACCAGUGGCGUAAGCGGCUAUCUGGACCGAUAUUGACGCUGAGGCACGAAAGCGUGGGGAUCAAACAGGAUUAGAUACCCGGGUAGUCC
This 425-nucleotide ribosomal RNA is filed under the name uncultured bacterium. RNAcentral's name for it is "partial 16S ribosomal RNA". It matches the Rfam family "Bacterial small subunit ribosomal RNA", at positions 354 to 796 of the family's 1533-position model. The record is from RNAcentral.